CCAAAAUCCUGCUAUAUCGGUAAUGAGACUGGCCUGCAUUUGAAGGGGGUGAUGUGGUAGGGCCUGGGCUUGCAACGUUUGUGACAUUUUCCUUAGAACAGGUGUAAUUGCAGCGACUUGGACGAACAACUCUAUAAACACCACUGCUAGCUAGAACAAAAAUAUCCUUGCGGUUGUCCUCUCCAAAUGAGAAAAUGUAACCCAAGGAUGGAAAGUUACUUCCAGCUACAGAUAUGCACUGGAUGGGAGAGUCCUUUGCACAACUGAAGGGAAUUUUGCUGGUGGUAAAGUUACCACUAUCUUCAGGGGUUUCAGUAGCUGCCCACACAGCACCAGCAUACAAAUCUGCAUACAAGUACCUCCCAUACAUGCAUGGAUCAGUCAUUGAGCGAUAGAAAUAUCCCCCGGUAAUUGAUGCUGACCCUUCAUUCUUGUUUACUUCAGAGUGGUUGUAUCCCAUAACAGGGAAAAUUGGGCUUAUGUUGUUCAGAGAUAUAUUUCCACCAGGUGAUGAUGGAGGAUUAUAAGGAUAGGGGCCCUCAUAAACACGCCAGCCAUAGUUUCCCCCCUUUGUUAUGAUAUCCACCUCUUCAUAUAAAUCCUAUACAGGUCCACAAAAAUUCACUAAAGAACUCCCAAAGGAGAACUUCAAAUGUUUCUUCCCUUUACAGGAAAAGUGACAUGACCUGAAGUCACCAAACAAAAAAAAUAACAUGAAAGCCAGGAAUGAGUGAUGCCAUGAAAGCCAUCAUCUUGAUGGGAAUAAUAUCUUCUGCUAAUCUGGGAACAGACCUACUAACCAUUCCAAGUUCCAACUACCUCACCCUUUUGCUACUCAGCCAAUGCCCAGAAGCAUGAUUUUCAAGUCAAUGCAAACAUAAGGAAUAAAUAAAAUUGAAUUACAAGAUUUGCGCUAACUAAUUGUCAAGAUUGUGGGAAGCAAAACACAUCACAGACCUGGCCAACAUCUGCGCACAUAAAGUAGGAUGGCCUUUCUGAAUCAAAGCUGCAGCGCCAAGGAUUUCUUAAGCCUAAAGCCCAUAUUUCUGGCAGCAAUUCACUGUCUUCACUAAAUGGAUUGUCUUUAGGGAUAGAGUAAUUUCCCCAUAGACCAAGGUCAUUAAUUUCUUUAGCACUUGGUAUAUUAUCAACAUCCAAUCGCAUGAUCUUUCCAAGCAAUGAUUUCUUGUUUUGGGAAAAAUUGUAAGGGUCCCCUGCAUUAUCUGGUCCACCCCCAUCUCCCAUCAUGAAGUAUAAAUGCCCAUCUGUAGGUCCAAAAAGAAUCUGUCCUGCAUGAUGCGAUGUGAAUGGAAGGCCCAUUGUAAGUAUCCUUCUAACUUCCAAUGGUUUCGCAGUUGUUGCCAAGGAAGCCUCAACGGCUGUACUGUUUGCAGUAUAUUCUGCAAUAACACUAUGAUAUUGGCAUGGCUGUGCACCAUUAUCAGGAGCCAGCUUUGAAGGAUCACAAUUCACAUCUGAAUUACAUGAACAUCUUCCAACACAUCCUGGCCACCUGACCUUGUCACAAUUGAAUGAAGCAAAGAAUCGACCAUUUUGUGCAAAGUUUGGAUGAAAUGCCAUACCCAUCAUCCCAAAUGCAUUGCUAAAAUAAACUUCAUCAGUUAGAUCAAUAAAAGGACUAGACUCGUCAAUUUCCAGUGUUCCUCCAGAUCCCUCUUCAGGAAUAGUCGCCAACCAAAUCUUACCUCGUUGGCUGGAGAAGAAUGCACGGUUAGAGCCAUCAGGAUGAGCAACCAUAUUGAGGUAAGAUCCAUUUCCAAUUUUCUCAAGGCACAAACCAGCUGGGGGACUUGGUGAACCAGUGUUAUUGAGUAUAACAGGUUCACCAUUAAAACAUACUGAUCCAUCAGUAGAUGCACCACCAAAUGCUUUGCAGAAAUCGGUUUUUGAUUGCCAGAGAUCAGUCAAUUUGCUAACACUGGAAUUGACAGGUAAUCCAGCUUGGCCUUUUAGUGAAGGGGUAAAAGGAGAAUUCAACACAGAUACGUUUUCACAUGCAUUCCAUACUUUAGAGCAGAAGUCAUUCACUAGUAGGCUAGACUGAGAUGAAUUUCUAGAAAUAGUGGAAUUACAGAGAAAAGGAACUGGUCGGUGCACAGAAUUGAUUGUAAAUAACUCUGAUGAAAAGGGAUCACAUCUAGCACAAAGGAUAGAUUUCAGGAGAGAAGCACAGCCAGGAUCGGAGAUGUUCAUUGCCUGAAAUUGCUUCUGCAAUUGUAUAUCUGUAGUGGAAUUGCAGCAGGUGCUCCCAUUGUAGGGACAAAAAUUCAGAGUGGUGUUUAAGGUAAAUGGUGCUCUUGAAUCAGUGCAUAAUGGAUGAGAUAGAGAAGGAUCAGGAAGAAACAAUAAGUUAAAGAACAGAAAGACAAUGGCAGGAACUGCCCCCAUCGCACCAAACAGACAAAGAAAUGAAGAUGCUCCACUACAAGGGCCUCCUUUUUGCCGAUGCCAGAAUCAUCUUAAGCAGCAAAACUUUUGGCUUGGAAGCCACUAUUAUUUAAAGGAGAAAACCUUUUCUGUGGUUUGAACUUUCUCCUCUCUACCAAAUGCUGCAUUUUUUAGUACCUUCAGGCUUCAAGUUCAAUCUCUCUCUAUUGGUGGCCGAUCUGUAAGCUCUUUCUAUGUAUCACUCUAUUAAAGUCAGCUUCCAGAAGGGAAAUAUCUUUCCUUCUCUGUAUAGAUGUCAACCCUUACGGAAUUGCCGCAAUGAUUUUUCAACUCUCUCUCUCACUCUCUCUCUCU
Molecule: unclassified non-coding RNA, 2763 nt
Filed under: Hevea brasiliensis (rubber tree)
Lineage: Eukaryota; Viridiplantae; Streptophyta; Magnoliopsida; Malpighiales; Euphorbiaceae
Source: RNAcentral